Molecule: ribosomal RNA, 497 nt
Filed under: uncultured bacterium
Lineage: Bacteria
Description: partial 16S ribosomal RNA
Rfam family: Bacterial small subunit ribosomal RNA
Source: RNAcentral
GAUGAACGCUGGCGGCGUGCCUAACACAUGCCAGUCGAGCGAACAGACGAGGAGCUUGCUCCUUUGACGUUAGCGGCGGACGGGUGAGUAACACGUAGGUAACCUACCUAUAAGACUGGGAUAACUUCGGGAAACCGGAGCUAAUACCGGAUAAUAUUUCGAACCGCAUGCUUCGAUAGUGAAAGAUGGCUUUGCUAUCACUUAUAGAUGGACCUGCGCCGUAUUAGCUAGUUGGUAAGGUAACGGCUUACCAAGGCAACGAUACGUAGCCGACCUGAGAGGGUGAUCGGCCACACUGGAACUGAGACACGGUCCAGACACCUGCGGGAGGCAGCAGUAGGGAAUCUUCCGCAAUGGGCGAAAGCCUGACGGAGCAACGCCGCGUGAGUGAUGACGGUCUUCGGAUCGGAAAACUCUGUUAUUAGGGAAGAACAAACGUGUAAGUAACUGUGCAGAUCUUGACGGUACCGAAUCAGAAAGCCACGGCUAACUACGUG